Molecule: transfer RNA, 73 nt
Filed under: Chromochloris zofingiensis
Lineage: Eukaryota; Viridiplantae; Chlorophyta; Chlorophyceae; Sphaeropleales; Chromochloridaceae
Description: tRNA-Ala
Rfam family: tRNA
About the family: Transfer RNA (tRNA) molecules are approximately 80 nucleotides in length. Their secondary structure includes four short double-helical elements and three loops (D, anti-codon, and T loops). Further hydrogen bonds mediate the characteristic L-shaped molecular structure. tRNAs have two regions of fundamental functional importance: the anti-codon, which is responsible for specific mRNA codon recognition, and the 3' end, to which the tRNAs corresponding amino acid is attached (by aminoacyl-tRNA synthetases). tRNAs cope with the degeneracy of the genetic code in two manners: having more than one tRNA (with a specific anti-codon) for a particular amino acid; and 'wobble' base-pairing, i.e. permitting non-standard base-pairing at the 3rd anti-codon position.
Source: RNAcentral
GGGAGCUUAGCUCAGUUGGUAGAGCGCUGCUUUUGCACGGCAGAUGCCAGCGGUUCGAAUCCGCUAGCUUCCA